This is a non-coding RNA of Ameiurus melas (black bullhead), 76 nucleotides long. NCBI's taxonomy places the organism in Eukaryota, Metazoa, Chordata, Actinopteri, Siluriformes, Ictaluridae. The record is from the annotation of a GenBank genome assembly.
GUUUCUGUAGUGUAGUGGUUAUCACGCGUUUGCCUCACGCACAAAGGUCCCUGGUUCGAGAAACCGGGCAAAAACA